RNAcentral lists this unclassified non-coding RNA (378 nucleotides) under soil metagenome. RNAcentral's name for it is "partial contains 5.8S ribosomal RNA, internal transcribed spacer 2, and large subunit ribosomal RNA". The stretch from base 1 to 120 matches the Rfam family "5.8S ribosomal RNA", at positions 35 to 154 of the family's 154-position model. The record is from RNAcentral.
GAUGAAGAACGUAGCGAAAUGCGAUAAGUAAUGUGAAUUGCAGAAUUCAGUGAAUCAUCGAAUCUUUGAACGCUCAUUGCGCCCUUUGGUAUUCCGAAGGGCAUGCCUGUUCGAGCGUCAUUAUCACCCCUCAAGCCCCUUGGCUUGGUGUUGGACGGUUGGCGACGACCCCUGGGUCGUCGCCCCUCCCAAAGACAAUGACGGCGGCCUCGUUGGACCCCCGGUACACUGAGUUCUUCACGGGACACGUACUGGAUCAAGGGUGCGCGGAGCACGGUCUUAACCAUUUCACCCCUCGUGGGCGGAAUAAUUUUUCUAGGUUGACCUCGGAUCAGGUAGGGAUACCCGCUGAACUUAAGCAUAUCAAUAAGCGGAGGA